UAGUCCUGGCCGUAAACGAUGGAUGCUAGACGUGGGGGGUAUCGACCCCUCCCGUGUCGCAGUUAACGCAUUAAGCAUCCCGCCUGGGGAGUACGAUCGCAAGAUUGAAACUCAAAGGAAUUGACGGGGGCCCGCACAAGCGGUGGAGCAUGUGGUUUAAUUCGACGCAAUGCGAAGAACCUUACCUGGGCUUGAACUGCAGGGAAAAGCCGGUGAAAGUCGGUGUGACCUUCGGGUCGUUCCUGUAGAGGUGCUGCAUGGCUGUCGUCAGCUCGUGUCGUGAGAUGUUGGGUUAAGUCCCGCAACGAGCGCAACCCUUGUCGCUAGUUACCGGCAAGUAAUGUUGGGGACUCUAGCGAGACCGCCCGCGCAAGCGGGAGGAAGGUGGGGACGACGUCAAGUCAUCAUGGCCCUUACGUCCAGGGGCUACACACGUGCUACAAUGGGCGAGUACAACGCGCAGCCAACCCGCGAGGGUGAGCGAAUCGCUUAAAGCUCGUCUCAGUUCGGGAUUGGGAGU
RNAcentral lists this ribosomal RNA (520 nucleotides) under uncultured bacterium. RNAcentral describes it as "bacterial SSU rRNA". It matches the Rfam family "Bacterial small subunit ribosomal RNA", at positions 791 to 1306 of the family's 1533-position model. The record is from RNAcentral.